Molecule: ribosomal RNA, 465 nt
Filed under: uncultured bacterium
Lineage: Bacteria
Description: partial 16S ribosomal RNA
Rfam family: Bacterial small subunit ribosomal RNA
Source: RNAcentral
GACGAACGCUGGCGGCGUGCUUAACACAUGCAAGUCGUACGGUAAGGCCCUUUCGGGGGUACACGAGUGGCGAACGGGUGAGUAACACGUGAGUAACCUGCCCACAACUUUGGGAUAACGCUAGGAAACUGGUGCUAAUACUGGAUAUGUGCUCCUGCUGCAUGGUGGGGGUUGGAAAGCUCCGGCGGUUGUGGAUGGACUCGCGGCCUAUCAGCUUGUUGGUGGGGUAGUGGCCUACCAAGGCGGCGACGGGUAGCCGGCCUGAGAGGGUGACCGGCCACAUUGGGACUGAGAUACGGCCCAGACGCCUACGGGAGGCAGCAGUGGGGAAUAUUGCACAAUGGGCGCAAGCCUGAUGCAGCAACGCCGCGGGCGGGAUGACGGCCUUCGGGUUGGAAACCGCUUUCAGCAGGGACGAAGCUUUUUGUGACGGUACCUGCAGAAGAAGCACCGGCUAACUACGUG